UUCGGGCGUGACAUGGGUGACGCGGCCAUGGGAGCCGUCAGGUUUGACCUUGAGAUUGGGCAUGGGUUCUUCCUCCAUUGCUUGGGA
This 87-nucleotide transfer RNA is filed under the name Martinezella dioscoreae. RNAcentral's name for it is "Rhizobium dioscoreae tRNA-Pro". The record is from RNAcentral. Lineage: Bacteria; Pseudomonadati; Pseudomonadota; Alphaproteobacteria; Hyphomicrobiales; Rhizobiaceae.